GCCUGCCCAAUGGUUGUAUCUAAAAGCGGUUGAUAAAAGUCAGCCUCGUAAGGACAAUUGAAUGGCCGCGGUAACACUGACCGUGAUAAUGUAGCGUAAUCAAUAGCCAAUUAAUUGUUGGCCAGUAUGAAUGGCGCCACGAAGGCCCCACUGUCUUAAGGAAAUUCCCAGUGAAAUUGAAUUCGUAGUGAAGAUGCUACGUCCAAUUUGUUAGACGAAAAGACCCCGUUGAGCUUUACUGGGACACUUACACGGCCCCGGCCUUAGAGCCCCCUCCGGGGGCUCGAAGGCCGAAUUUGAAUGGGCGGCUUAGACUAUGUGGCAGCCCCCCGUCGGGGGCAGAUGAAACCCCACUCCCCCAUGUCAAAGGGGCUAACCCCUCCCUUGGGGGGGACAAUGUAAGUAGGACAGUUUGGUUGGGGCGACCGCCUUUUAGAGAGUAACGAAGGUGCGCUUAACGUGCGCAAUUAAUGACUGAAGCCUGACUGCGAGGGGGACACUCCGAGCAGACACCCCAAGCCCGCCAGAGGGGGUCGGGGGUGGGCCAUAGUGACCGUUUAAUUUAGAGUGGGAUAG
Molecule: ribosomal RNA, 576 nt
Filed under: Mesozoanthus lilkweminensis
Lineage: Eukaryota; Metazoa; Cnidaria; Anthozoa; Zoantharia; Parazoanthidae
Description: partial 16S ribosomal RNA
Rfam family: Bacterial large subunit ribosomal RNA
Source: RNAcentral